GGCUGGGAUGAGGGAUUCUGGUCACCACCCUCCCUCCACGUGGGAAGGCUCUCCGCAGAGUUUAGCCCUUGGGACGCGGGAAGAGUCUGUAUUUUUUUUUUUUUUUUUGAGGCUUGUUGCUUCCCGACCCUUUCUCUUAGGUUACACCCCCAAACUGCUGAUGCUGGUAACUGCAGUUGGCAAGAUUGUGGCAUUUCGAAAUCACAUGCAUCCUUUCUUUGUACAGGCUGCUCACUCACAGAUAAUGAAAGGUUUGCCAUCGCUAAGGGAAAGCCUUUUUUUUUUAAAAACUAAGAAUCUUCGGCUUUAUCAAGGACUGAUUUAUUUAUUUAUUGCGUCAAAAGCUAAGCUUCUCAUUUUGCUCAUCUCCAGUCCUCUGUUCCAGUGUCCUCUCUGAAUCUAGGCCUCUAAGUGAAGCUGUAGCACAAUUGUUUCUGUGUACACGGGGCAGCUUUCAUCAUGUGAAAACCCUUUCUGCUCAGCCGUUGAGGACUGGUAAACAGGACCUUUACCUGCUUUGAAGAACACGGCUUUCCAGUAACACUGAAGCCCUUUGCUUCCUGUUUUCCCCGCACUUUAGACUGGAGAAACAAGAAUCAAGUUGUGCCCUCUCCCCGUGUACUGCAUUUUCGGAUGUAUUUGGCAUUUCUAUUUAGAGACUCUGCAUAGUUAUUCAACUUUCUUAUAAACAUACACACUGUUAAGUAAAGUAAGUGCUUUUGAAAAAAAAAAACAGGCUAGACCUUGAAAGCAACAACAACAAAAAGUAACUCUUAUUAAAACUUGCUUGCUUGGGGAUCCAUUUAACUCAAGGCAGCUUGAGACAUAUCUCCCUUUACAAAUAUAGGUAAAAUGGGGUGAUGUUUAAAUUAUGUAAGUCCUGAGAAAAUACAGGAAGAUUAAAAGUCUUGGAAUGGGAAAGUAAAGUGGAUCAGACCAGGAAACCCAACAGAAGACAGAUUCAGUAUUAUGGAAUUAAAACCUUUCAUAUGACCAGUGACUUCGGCAAUAGGGUCUCGCAAAUCCCAGGCUGGUCUUUUACUGUGUAGCUGAGAAUGACCUUGAAUUGCCGUUCCUUCUGCUGGACUCAAAGAAACCAAUGAACGGUAUUUGAAGGGUUUUGAAACAAAACUUUGAAGCUAGAGGAGCUACAGUAAGAGCCUUACAUUUCCCUCUCUGAUUUGGGCGCUGACAAGAAAGAAACCUUGGAAACGCCCUCCUUAGAACAACCUGCCAUUCCCGACCAACUUAGAUUCCAGAGAACUUUACAGGUGAUGAUUAAGUGCUUGAAAAUUUGCAUGUGUGUUUGUCAGCAAACUGAAAAGUUCCCCUCUAUUUUGCAAAAGCAUUCCAGAGAUAAUUUACUUUUCCAUUUCACUAAUCUCUGUUUAGCCGAAUAAGACUGGUUCUGAUGGAAGUGAAAUGUAUCUGUGACAUCAUAUCUGCUUUCCUGUUUUACAAUCCUUGUCUGGACCUGCCUGUAUCCCAAUGGCAGGCCUCUUCUCAGAUUCCUGGCUACUGAAGUGUCCUCAAAGUGCAGAAAGGUCAGGAUGGUCAGUCAUUGUCCCUUUCUUCUGUCUAAGCAACCAGUAUUGAGGGUCCCUAUUCCCUUAGGGCUUUCAUCCACAGACAGAGAUGUUAACAGAGUUUAGGAGAAUUAACUAAACUUCUCUUUCACUGAAAAAGAAGUGAACACCAUUGGUUGGUUUCAAGUCCUCUGAUUGAAGAUGGAUUAGCUUUGGAGCCCAGCCAUUGGCUCUUUUCUUUGGAGGUGGGGAGGUCCUCUAAAACAGUGGCUUUUCACCUGGAGAUCACUGAAAACAGUAUCUCAAGAUCCCAUUCUGAGAGAUGCAGAUCUUUUUGACCUAUGCCUGGAAAUCGUCAUCUUUGUCGUUGUCACCAAAUAAAACUUUAGGCAUUAGUUAACCGAAGAUACUAGCUUCUUGACAUAGAGAAACAUUGGCGAGGAAAACCGGGGCUGGUGAAGCCCUUCCUAAUAACUAGAAUCUUUUGAGUAAAUAUACCGUGCUUGGAGGAGACUUUCAGGUGUGGGUGGUUUAGAGCAAAUUUCAGGUUAAAGCAAGACUGUGAGAUGCUAAGACUGAAAUAUUGCUUGUUUUCUGAGGGGGGUUGGGCCUAGAAUUCCCUCAGAUACCAAAGUCUGGAUGUGUAAGGCUUGCCAAGAAUGGUGUGUUUGUGUGGCACCUUCACGGACCAUCCUACUCUCUUUAGGUAACCUUUAGCAUGCUUAAUCAGUGUAAGUGCUAUGCUGAUGAUUUAGAAAAUUGUUUGUAUAUUUCAAUGUAGAUGUAUUCCCCCCAAUUUUGUAUCAAUGAUUGGCUGAAUCCAUGGAUGCAGAAUCCUUACAUGGAAGGUUGACUGUACUGAAAAAAAUCACAAACAGUAAAUCAUAAUCAGGCUUGCCUUUCCUUAUAGUGGUGUUUCUUUUCUAUAAAGUAGGAAUUGCUUCUGUGAAUUAUUACUCUUGUGAUUAAAACCCAGUGAACAUUAGUGUUACAGAGGAGACUAUAAGCCAUCUCUAGGUCUGGGUUAAAUUAUAGAUAAAAUACAGAAGGUUCAUUUCCUGGGAGGUCCCUGGGAUCAGAUAUUUUUAACAUGAUUAUUUUAAUCCAAUACUUUUCUGUAAUCCACCCUUUGUGACAUUAAUGAGAUAUCUUAAACCUUUGUGGCUGGCAAAACAAGUGCCAGCAAAACAGAGUGACAACGUGACCUGUGCCCCAAAUAAACAUAGCUAUUGACUUUUAACUAGUCCAAAUGUUCUGGAAGGCUAUCAGCUUCCUGGUCUUUGAUACACGUGGGCACAGUCAUUGUGACUAAAUCAUCUGAGGCUAUUAUGCUUUUGGGUUGCUCUAGGGACCCUAUUUUUAAAAACAGUUCUAUUCUUAUGCCACUAAUGUUAGUUACAAACACAAUUUUCUUGCCAUUUAAUUAAGACACCAAGAAAGCCACAUUAUUGUUCUGGUUUCAAUACUACCAAACCUUUCUUUACUCACAGGGGACCAUGGAAAAACUUGUUUCAAUGUUACAUAUAUAACUUUUUUUUUUUGAGACAAGUUCUCAUCUUGCAGCCUUGGCUGACCUGGAACUUGCUGUGUAAGCCAGGCUGGCCUUGAACACAGAUAACCACCUAUCUUUGACACUUCAAUGCUGGGAUUAAAGACAUGUACCACCAUAGCCAACCAUAUAUAAGAGUGUUUUGUAAGUAGUAGGUGUAUUGACUUAAACCAAUCCCAGUUUUGAGAAUGUGUGUAAGGGUGGCUUGUGUGUUAUUCCAUUCACUGUAGCAAUCUCUGAGGUACAGAAGUUCAGGGGCCAAAUGCCCUCUGCAGACCACUUUCUCCCAGUUCUGAACUGUGGCUUGGAAGAGACUGCUCAGUAGCACGGAGACACACUGUCUCCUCUGUAUUUCCAGUCCCAUUGUGGUUACCUGAGCCCUGAAGUAUAACUUCUUAACAGAAUUGCUCUGCUCACUGGUGGGCAUCCAAUUCAUGCUGGAUGGCGAUUUCUUCAUCUAAAAAUGUUUGCUCAACAGUUCACUGCAGUUUGUGUGGUUUAAAAAACCGAAUUAUGAACCCCACACGUUUCUCAAUCCAGUUGCUCGUCAGCCUAUUUAGCACAGGUCUUUCAGCUGCACAAGGUCAUUGAAAAUCUGAGUCCAAUUCUAGAAUGUAAGACUCAGUUUUUCUGCCUUCCUACUCUUUGUAAACCAUGCACUCCAGUCCAUCAACCAUACAACAGAUGAAAAUGCUAAAUAACCUCAGAUCUAAGUAGAAACAUAUACCAUAGUUUUGUAGGCACUAUUCCUUGAAAACCCUCAGUAUGAGAUUAAGAUGCUAUUCAUGCCACAAAGUAUAUUUUUCCUGUCUUCUUUUUAAUCUAUUAAGUACUUUAAGGUAGAAAAUAGAGGACAGUUACUUUGAUGCCUUUGCCUUUUUUGUUCUUGUCCCUCUUCCUUUUCCUAUCCUUCCUCUUCCUCUUUCCUUUUUCUUUUUCUUUUCAGGGUCUCACAUCGGUCCUAUGAUUUCCACCUCUUGAGGGCUGUAUUACAGUCAUGGGCCACCAUAUCUAUUCCACUAGGUCAGAAGUUCUAUAAAGACAGCAUUGGUGGCAUCUUUCUUUCAAGGCUUUGACACCCCCUGGCUCCCCAGAAUGUAGGAGGCACACAUCAGGUGUGCGAUGUACUAAUUAUUUCUUAAUAAGCAACUAUCGUUUCAUCAUUAAAAGAAAAAUCCAUUUUAUGUUUUUUCCCCUCAGAGAAUUUGCUUUGGAGGCAGGGUCUUACUACACACACCUUGAAUUUGAGAUGCUCCUGUGCCCGCUACAUGAGUGUGUGAUUACAGCUCUAUGCCUGCAAGCCUGGUUCCAGUUCCACUCAAGGCUUUUAAAAAAUAUCCAAAUUUCAGGAAUUAUGAUGUAAACAUCUUUAAUUAUAAUUAACUACCUGUGUGUAAGUGUGUCUGUGUACCCUCCCACACUCAUGCAUGCCCAUGGGUGUGUGAAAUCAGAGGGCAAUUUGUGGGUGUCAGUUAUCUUCUACAAUGUGAAUUCUAUUGACCAGGCUAUCAAGCUUGGCAGCUGGGGUACGGCUUCCUCAAGGGGCCAUUUGUGUCCAGGCACCUGCGGCUUCCAGGUUACCUGGAGCAUCUUGGACCAAACUACAGACUUGGAAGUGCAAAGCCAGGUCCACCUUUUCUGGAUGUCUUCCAGUAUCGCCCUAUGAGUUCAACAUAGAGCUUCUGGGCCCUUUUCUCAGGCUGCCUUUGUCCGUAGCUGUGUCCCACGGCUCUCCUCUGACAAGGUCCAACUUCUACCUUUGCUUCACCUUGGGAUACAUUUGCUGACUCCAGGAGAUGAAAACCAGUGUUAAGUAAUUAACCCCGUGACCCUUUUAAUGAUCCUGUUUCAUCAUUACAUCACUUUGCAUGGCUCCAGUUUGACUUCUGUCUGCCAGUUUGUUUGAUUGAUUUUUUUUAUUUGCUCAUUUUUAGGAAUCCAUACUGUUGUUGAUUAUCUUUGUGUUAUCUCAAGAACAGCUAAUCUUCAUGAUGCUAAUUUUCUUUUUGUCAAAAAAAUUGAAACAUUGCUCAUAGUCCUGUAAAGUUACCAAAAUCAUGGUGAGCUGCCAGAUAACCUAAUAAUUUAUAACAGCAAAAUAUCCUAUUUCUCUAAUAGUGAAAUACUAACUUACUGGUCAGUGCUGACUAUUUUUUUUUUUCAUCUCACAAUGUAGGUCAGACUGACCUGGAACUUGUAGCAAUCCUCUUGUCUCAGUAAAGGAGUAUAGGUAUAAGCCUAUAUAGUAGGUUUAUAUGUAUAAACCAUAAUGCCUGACUUUAUAUUUAAAAUCAGCUAGUUUUUAGGCCUUUGACAGUUUCUGCCAACUCCUAAUAAGUACAUAUUUUUCUGACAUACGACGUGGGUGGGUGAGACAUUUCUCAGAAAAACUGAACCUAAUACUCUGCUGUUAGAGUAACAUUAGGAAGCAACAAAAUGGAUAACUCAUUUAGCCUUGGUUCUAAAAAUUCACUUUCUGAUUUUUAUUUUAUGCAAGCCGGGGGUAAACCGUUCAUAUUAAGUUGGAGAACAGAUGUAACAAACAAAUCAGUUCAUUAAAUGGUUAGACUGCUUCUCCACAAAAGGAAAAAAGGGAGGAGAAUUAGAGCAGAGAGAGGUAGAAAGGGCUGCUCAGACUGUCAACAAAAAGGGGAAGAGAGGUGGGGGAGGAAGGGAUGCAGUGGAGAAAGAUGGAACCAUUGUGGUCAAUACCUUUGCUUAAAAGUUUGGGCAAUGGUAGUAACUUUAACUGAUGAAGAAAAUUCUUUUUUAGGCCUUUGUCCUAAUCCAAUAUUUGUCUUGUAAGUAUUUAUCUUGUGCGUAUUGUAUGAAGAGACAGGUCCUGGAAAUUCAACUGAGGGCCUUCCAUAUGCUCCUCCACACAGAUAUAUCUCCAGCCUUUUUUAACUUUUAGUACUGAGACAGGAUCUCCCUAAAUUACCCUUGAACUUCCCAUCCUUCCGCCUCAGCUUUCUUAGCUGUGAUGACAAACUUAUAAACCACCAGGGCUGGAUUAAUACUAUAUUUGAAACUCUGGAGAAACUCGGUAUCUGUCUGAAGUAUAUGAAUGCUCUGUAGAGUUCUUAAUUUUUUUUAUUAUAAGUCAACAGUCCAGGCUAUAAAUCCUCUGUAGAAAGUGCCACUAACCUCAGUGUUUUUUUAGGGUGAGAAGGGGAAGAGAGUGAGCCACACCUACCUCUCACUUGCUGUCCUUCCUCCUCUGGUAGCCAUGCUCCUAGCUGGGGAGAAGGGCAGGGAGAGAUGCUGCAGGAGUUCCAGUACAACAAACAGCCCUCAGCAGUGUUGUUUCCCUUUAUGACCCUUGGAUCCUUUCCUAAAUCCAGCAGACAUCUGACUCCCUGGUGUGAUCAUCACACUCAUGGUCAGAAUUGCAGCACACAGGCUGGCACUGUGGUUGGGAAUUGUGAGUCACUCCUCCAGGUUCUUUCUGGUGUGGAAGUGAGUGUCCGAAAGGGAAAAGAGCAGUCUGUCAGGUGAGCUCAUCAUUGUCAUCAUCACCAGCUUCCUGAGGGACUACGCAGUGUAAGUGAAAAGAGCACCUGUCAGACUUCCAGGAAGUCACUGUCUCAUGUGACCAUGGGAAGAUAAUUCAUGCCAUACAUCCCAUGGAAAUAGUUAAGUUGAAGAAAAUUCUUUUGAGAAUGUAUUUCUCUGAAGACUCAUACAGAGUCUUCUAAGGAUGACCACAGAAUCCUUCAGUUCUUUUACUCCUUCAUCUUUCAUUUUCAACAAUACAACUUAACUCUGUAACAAGCUCAUUUGGAGCUGGAAGCUCUUAGAAAAAUGUUAAUGUAAUAAAACUCAGUGACUUAUGUUA
This is a long non-coding RNA of Mesocricetus auratus (golden hamster), 6913 nucleotides long. RefSeq lists it as uncharacterized. NCBI's taxonomy places the organism in Eukaryota, Metazoa, Chordata, Mammalia, Rodentia, Cricetidae. The record is from RefSeq and is a predicted model, not a curated record. The transcript has 4 exons.